This 8133-nucleotide long non-coding RNA is filed under the name Panax ginseng (ginseng). RNAcentral describes it as "long non-coding RNA (PGIN_LNC009300)". The record is from RNAcentral. Lineage: Eukaryota; Viridiplantae; Streptophyta; Magnoliopsida; Apiales; Araliaceae.
UUUACUCUGUGAAGGAUUUUUAAUACGCAUGCUAUUUAUAUUUACACAUAAUUAGGAGAAUCAAAGGCAUACCUCUUGAAGCGUGAUUAAGCCUUUGAUGCGGAAAACCUCCUGCCGUUCCUUUAACCCAACAGCGUCUCCGAACUAAACGUAGCACUAAUUCACAGUACGUAACAAUUAGGGUUUUGGUCUCGAUAUUGGAAGCUUUGUAUCUUUGGCCAACUCAAUAAUAUUGCGCACAUCUUGAUCGACUGAGGGAUGUGGGUAUUUAAUACGUGAGUGGUUAAACCACUCCCCAACACGUCCUCCACGUUCAGUCAAUCCACGUUCACAUUAAUGAACUGCAAUUGACCUUGUUAAUUGGGAACUUAAUUAAUGUAACUGGGUCGGACCCUCCAUGGGUGACCCAUUUGGAUACCCAAGAUCCAACAUCUCCCACUCGCCCAUGGCGGGGACGAUGUAUCCUCAUAUCUGCCAAAAACAGCUCAAACCAAAACAUGUAAAACCCCUAACUGCCGAACCGUGCAACCGCUGAGUUCACCUGCAAUGCGGGAUCUCUAUAUCAAACCUGUUAGGGCCAACAUAGAGACAUCUACCCUUUCAAAGAAAUAACACGGGAGCUCUCACGUCGAACUUAAUUAGUUCACAUAGAGGCUACAUCCCAUAAACUCAGAGUACCCCAGACACAUUUGAAUUUUCACUAGGUUAAGUAUCUUUAACCCCUCAGAGAGCCUUACUUAACCACCUUUGGGCCCAAGUCCAUUUCGUAUCUCACUUAUUACUAUAUCGCUAUCAAAACGCUAUAGUUGUCGACAAUAAGUGCAGAACGAGGUGAAAUCAAAUUGUCUUCCCUUUGCCCUAAUACUACUCAAAAAUGAAUCAACUGCUUUCCCAGAAUCGGUUCUUAUAGUCUCAUCAAUCCCGACCUUAGGAAUCGAAACCAAAGUAGCAACAUUAAUCCAUGUCUUUGCAGUAUAGUCAAAGAUCACAAAGAACACUUGACGUAGGAACAAAACUUGUCCUACAAGACUCACACGGUGAGGAAGCAGGGAUUCAUUCUCUCACCUCUUUUACAUGGUCGCUAAGCACAUGUAACUCGCUCACAACAUGCUAUUCUAUAGCCUUGUUGUGCGGACCUUAGAACAUUUCAAAUUGCUCGCUUAUCUAAGCGCCAUAUUUGAAACUUCGCAUCCGGUUAUCAUGUUACGACAGACAAUCUCAUCUACAUGAGCAUAUGUCCUAUGGUCGUGCCGUACGGAUCUUAGUUUAGUCGCUUCAUAAGCGCCUAACUCGAAUUUUUCAUAUUGCUCGCUUAUCUAAGCGCCAAACCUAAAAUUUCGUAUCCGGCUAUCAGUACAGGUUAAAAUAGAUGGUGGGGCAUACUAUAUUUGGUUAAUCCAAGUUAACCUCAUCUUGGCUCAUGCCAAGGCGACAUCAUGUUCAUUUUGCUCACUACUAAGCGCCAAUUGAUUGCUAUCAAAAGCAUCAAUAGCUCGCUACUCAAAGUGCCAAUAAAUGAACUGUCUCAACCUUGCUCGCUUUUCAAAGCGCCAAGGGUGAUUGCUCGUGUGAGUGAGCCAAUCAACCUGUUGACAUAUAUUUAAUGUGCGUGCAUAUCCAAUAUGCAUAAUAAACUGUGUGAACAUAUAAAAUUUAUCAUGUGCGCUAAAAUAACCAAACACAAGUGGAGAUAAAUGAAACUCGCAUAAAUGAUAAAUAUGUCGAAAUAACAAUGAAUAUCUCUAAUACAAGCCAAAUAAUGAGUGAUAUGCAAGGAAAUAAUAGAAAGUACAUCAAAUCCUACGAAUUCCUAAUGAACUAACAUGCCUAUAAAAGGCAUCUUUAGGGAUUGGCUUCGUCAAAGGAUCAACUACCAUAAGACCAGUGGGCAUGUAUUCCAAUAUCACCUCAUUAUUUGCUAUGAUAUCUCUGAUGAAGUUCAUCCUCAAGUCGAUGUGCUUCGUCCUCCCGUGAUACUUGGGGUCCUUAGUGUAAUCUAGGGCCGUUGUGCUAUCACAGUAAACAGUCACAGGAUCUGAAGCAUGAGAGACGACACCAAAAUCCUCGAAGAAUCUCCUCAGCCACAUGGCUUCCUGAACAGCUGACGUACAAGCCACAAACUCCGACUCCAUCGUAGAAAGAGCAACGCAAGUCUGUUUCUUGCUACACCAAGUGAUGGCACCACCAUGUAACACGAAUGCAUAUCUUGAGGUCGACUUGCGCAUCCCCUGGUUACCUCCCCAACUGGCAUCGGAGUAACCAAUUAAUCGCAGAUCCGGUCCUCCAUAGCAUAACAUGUAGUCCAAAGUACAUUUCAAAUAUCGCAAGAUCCUCUUGAUUGCCUUCCAAUGAGCAAUCCCAGGGUUUGACUGAUACCGACCGAGAUAACCGUCUGCAUAUGCUAUAUCAGGCCGAGUACACACAACUACAUACAUUAGCUUUCCUAUAGCAUUGGCAUACGGAUAAUGGGACAUCUUCUUAAUUUCCUCGGGAGAAGUAGGGCAUUGUUCGGGUCCAAUGGCGUCGCCUUUAGCGAUAGGAGUGUAUGGGUUUGCAGUUGUUUAACUGGAAUUGCUCAAGAACCUUCUUAAGGUAAGUCUCUUGAGACAAACCAAUAAGCUUUCUUGAGCGAUCUCUAAAGAUCUUAACUCCGAGAACAGAAGCUGCUUCCCCCAUGUCCUUCAUCUCAAAGUUAGAGGACAGCCACCCUUUGGUGGCGACAAUCAUCUCCUUAUCGUUCCCAGCUAGAAGGAUGUCAUCGACAUACAUAGAUAAGAUAAGGAAUUUAUCUUUGGACCGUUUGAUAUAUACACAAUAGUCUUUCUCGAUCAUCGUAAACCCAUCACUAAUGACGGCUCGAAGGAAUCUCAAAUACCAUUGUUUGGACGCCUGUUUCAAACCAUAGAUAGAACGUUUGAGCUUGCAUACUUUGCGCUCUUGUCCUUCCAUGACGAAACCCUCUGGCUGAUCCAUGCAUAUCUCCUCAGCUAAAUCUCCAUUGAGAAAAGCUGUCUUAACGUCCAUUUGAUAUAACUCCAAAUCUAAAUGCGCAACAAUCGCUAAGAUGAGGCGAAUUGAGGCAAACCUCACAACUGGUGAGAAGGUUUCCUCGUAAUCAAUUCCCUCUUGCUGGGUGUAGCCCUUGGCUACAAGACGAGCUUUGUACCUUUCAAUGGAACCAUCCGCCUUGCGUUUGAUUUUAAGGACCCACUUGUUCCCAAUAGCCUUUCGCCCUGGUGGAAGGUCAACCAAGUCCCAGACUUGAUUAGUCCUCAUGGACUCCAUCUCUUCUUCCAUUGCAAUCAUCCACUUAUCUCUCAUAACAGAUGAUAGAGCAUCUCGAUAAGAUCGAGGUUCCUCAUCGUCUUGCGCAUCAGCUACAAAGGCAUUCCCCUCAAUCUCAAAAGGACGACGUGGAAUGUUACCCCUUUGACUUCUACGCACUUGAGGAACAUGAGACUAUUCAUUCGAUGGAUGAGAACUGCUCGAAGGCAUGUCACUCCCACUUUCUACAGGAGCCUGAGGAAUAACCUCUUCAGCUUUUACUGUAUGAGUUGGGGCGCCUAAAUCUUCUUCCAUCUCACAAAGGUUCAUCUCCUUGCUCACAUCACCUCUAUUAGGGAAAUCCAUCUCAAGAAAAUCCGCAUCUCGUGACUCUAUCUCAGAUACAGUCCCAUCAGGCUGCUCUCCUACAAACACAUAGCCCUUGGAGUGUUCAGAAUAUCUUACAAAAAUACACUUUUUACCCCUCGGGCCUAACUUCCCAUGCUGAUGAGAAGUGUUGUGCACGUAAGCUGCCGAUCCCCAAGGCCGCAUUCCGCCCAAUUCGGGCUUUCUGCCGGUCCACAUUUCAUAUGGGGUGGACUGAACUGAUUUUGAAGGCACACGAUUAAGUAUGUAUGUCGCAGUCAACAAUGCAUCACCCCAAUAGGAGAUAGGCAAAUUUGUUUGCGCCAUCAUAGACCUAACCAUGUCUAAUAAUGUUCGGUUCCUCCUCUCCGCCACACCGUUUUGUUGCGGAGUUGUCAGUUGCCUGAUUAUCCCUUUUUCCUCACAAAAUUCUUUAAACUGAUAGGACAGAUACUCGCGGCCUCGGUCAGUUCGAAGUGCCUUAACACUUUUAUCUAACUGAUUCUCGACCUCAAUCAAAUAACGUCUAAAGCAAUCUAAUGCCUCAGACUUAUGCGAGAUCAAGAAAGUGUACCCGAAGCGCGUAUAGUCAUCUAUCAUUGUGAGAAAAUAGGAAAGUCCAUGCCUUUCUUUUACGUUCAUAGGGCCACAGAUAUCUGAGUGAAUAAGUUGCAAUGGUGUUUCUGCCCUAGUGGCUUUACCGAAUGGUUUUCUAGUUGAUUUUCCUGCCAAACAAUGUUCACAUGUGGGUAGAUUGACCUUAGCGAGUGGGCCUAAAAGACCUGCUCGAGCUAACCUGGCCAUUCUAUCUUGUCCAAUAUGGCCUAAUCUAGCAUGCCAUUGAAUUGAACCAUCAUGAUCAUUUUCAACAAGUAAGGAAUAAUAAUCACUACUAUUACUGCUAGAAUCAAUAGUAUCCAAAAUCAUAAAACCAUUCAUCAUAAAACCAUGUCCAAAAACAUUCGUCCCAUGCGAAAUUAUUACAGAAUUAUUCUCAAAACUAACUGAAUAGCCUAAACGAAGUACUGAUAAAACAGAAAAUAAAUUCUGCCGGACAUCCGGCGCAUAAAGUACAUCAUAAAGGAUCAAUGCUGAGCAUCCUCGCAUUUCCAGUUUGUAAGUGCCAAUGCCUAGCACGUCCACACUGGAAUCGUUCCCCAUGUAUACUUUUCUGCCAGCCGGAACUCGGCGGUAUUCCACGUAUCCACUCCGAUCUCUAGCUAUGUGGUCCGUUGCUCCGGAGUCUACAAUCCACAUAUGGAGAGAAUGAGCAACAAAAACAGUACUUGAUACUAAGCACAUAGAUAGAUUAGGACUAGGAAUUACCUUCUUCGGCUCAGUGCACUCACGAGCGAAGUGUCCCGCCUUGCCACAGUUGUAGCAUGUCAUCUUGGCUUUGUCCUUUUUACCAGAACCUCGUUUGCCUCUCUUACGCUUGACAGCACCCCCACUCGCAGCCCCUUUAGGCGCAGCAGGAUGAGCAGGUUUCUUCCCCUUCUUAGGUGUGAACCCUCUACGAGAGUUUGAUUAAGCCACAUAUGCCCUGGAGGUCUUGACAACAUCAAGGCGCUCAGCCUCGAGCUCCAAGUGACGACGAAUAUCAUCAAAGGUCUUGAUAUUCUCGUUAUGAGUCAUGUUGACCCGCAUAUGUUCCCAAUUAUCGGGAAGGGAGCGAACCACCGUUGAAAUCUGCUGUUCGUCUGACAAUUGAGUACCUCCGGAUUUCAACUCCCGGAUCAUAUUAGCCAUGAUUCGAAGGUGUUGUUUCAUAGUGUGGCCAAUUCCUUCAUCCUUGUCAACGAGGUGCCACCAAACUUAGUUUUGAGAGCCUCCCAAAUAUCGUGUGCAGUAGAGUAUUGUUCAUACUCAAACAGAAAGUCAUUAUUCAUGCAGCUCAACAACGUUAUGCGAGAGAUACGAUCUUUUUUGCGCCAACUUUCGAAGGCAGCAACCUUGAUCGGAUCCUUUGCAUUUUCAUCCUCUGGUUUAGCCAUUUUGGACAACAGAGUUUCUUCAACUUCUUGCUCCUCCAAAACCAUCCUGACUUUCCGGUGCCACACGUCAUAGUUAUCUCCUUCUAGUUUGUUUCCUUGGUUAAGGUCUGCGAUAAUGUGUUUUGAAGCCAUUUUCUGCUUUGAUUAAAAAAAGAGGAUUUAUUAGAGAUAUUCAAUGUUCACCACAGUCUAUAAGAUAUCUUUGCCGCAUGAAUCAAAUUAACAUAAAAAUAAUGAGACAUAAAUAUAGAAGGGAGACUUGGCUAAGCUUAGGAAUCACAAUCCAUAUAAAUGUCUAAUUAUUUAAAUUUAAUUUUUCGACGCACAAGACAUAUAAUUUAGGGAAUAAUUUAAUUAAAUUAUUACAACCUAAAUCACUCCCACUAGGAACAGGGGUAUACAUGUAUUUAUAGCAUGUUAAUUUAAUUCCAAGGACCAACAAUUAAUAUCCCAUAAAUAUUAACAAAGGAAUUAAACAAUAGGCUAUAUUACUCAAUUAAUAUACCAAGUAUACUAUAAAAACAUUAAAAUGCAUCCAAAAAAUUUUCAACAGUACAUUAACAUUAUAAAACAUUACUAUAAUUUUCUGGAAUAUAUUUUUGAUAAUUUUGCUAAUUAUCACAAUUAAUUAAUCAUGCAUAAAAAGAUGGAAAUUAACCAAAGAUAUCCAAAUCUGUUAAUUUCUUCCAUUUUUUUUAUAACAGUAGAUUAUCAUCAUUAAAAGACUACUGUGAUUUUCUGGAAUUUUCUGAUAAUCAUGCUAAUUAUCAAAAUUAAUAAGCUAUUGCACAAUUAAUUGGAAAUUAGCCAAAAAUAUACAAUACAGUUAUUUUCCCUCUGAAAAAUUCAUAACAGUAAAUUAACAUCAUCAUAUAGUCACUGUAACGUUUCUGGAAUUUUCGUGAUAUGUUUGCUAAUUUUCAUAAUUAAUAAACCAUUAAUUAUUAGGUAGAAAAUUAACCAAAAAUAUCAAAAACGGUUAAUAUAUCCAAAUUCCAGUAUCAUAAGUAAUAUGCCAAUAAUUAAUUUCUACUAAUUUUUCAGAAUUUAACAGUCACUGUUACUAUUUUUAAAUUAAUUUCCAUGUUAAAAACAAUUAAUAAAUUAUUUUCUGGAAAUUAAAUAUUAAAAAUCUGUCAAAACGGGUCAGAUCCGCGGGUCGGGCAGCAGGUCAUCUUCAACCUCCAGCCACCAAAAUUUACAGAAAUGCCAUUUCGCGACUAAAACUUUGAGAAGCCAUAUCUCACUUUAUAUAAUUCCGAUUUAGGUCCAUAAUAUAUCGUUGGAAAGCUUACAACGAGUACUACGCAUACAUACAAAAAUCAACCGAAUCGGACAAUCACAGAAAAAGUUAUGGCGGUUCAAAGAAGGUUGUUUGCAAACUAGAGUUUCAAAUUAAUUUUAAAUUAAUUAUCCAAUUAAAUCCAAAUUAUGCAGAUCAUAUACACUAUGUUUAGGCCAAGGUUUUCAAACCCGGACCGGACCGCCGGUCUAACCGGAAAAAACCGGACCCGAUUCACUCAACGGUCCGGUUUGGAUCACUAAACCACUUCUGCUCAAAAAUCGUUCAGAACCGGUGAACCGGCGAUUGAAUCGGUUGACCCAUUGAACCAGUGACCGGUUCACGGGUUUGACCGGUUCUCUCCUUAAAGAUUAAAAAAAAAAAAAUUACGGAUUUUAUUUUAUUUUAGCAAUUUAGUUGAGACUUUGUUUGGUAUUUUACAUAUUUUUGCAUUCAUUUAAUCAAACACUUGAACUUGUGGUUGAAUUUCGGAAUUUGAAUGUAUCUUAGAGAUGUUUAGUUUUUUUUUUGGUGGAUAAAUUGAUUAAUUUUACAUAUUUACUAAAUAUUAUAUACAAUAUAUAAUAAUAAUUAAUAUAAUUUAUUAUUUAUUAUUUAUUAUUUAUUACAUAUUAAUGACGUCACUGGGUCAAUAACGGUCCGACCACUGGUUGGGCCAGUGACCCAUCCACCCAGUAACUUUUCCGGUUCGAUGAUCGGUCCGGGUUUAAAAACCUUGGUUUAGGCUACAAUAUAUUGCAAUAUUAGCCCCUAACAUUUAGUGUAUCUAAGUUUGCCAUUAAUGAUGUUUUCAAGCUUUUUAAACAUACAAUCAUGGCAUAAAGUGUAAAUAUUUCAUACAUAGCAUACAUGGGAUCGUUAAACCUUGCUUUGAUACCAAUGAAGGGUUUUUAAUACGCAUGCUAUUCAUAUUUACACAUAAUUAGGAGAAUCAAAGGCAUACCUCUUGAAGCGUGAUUAAGCCUUUGAUGCGGAAAACCUCCUGCCGUUCCUUUAACCCAACAGCGUCUCCGAACUACGUUUGAGAACGGAGCACUAAUUCACAGUACGUAACAAUUAGGGUUUUGGUCUCGAUAUUGGAAGCUCUGUAUCUUUGGCCAACUCAAUAAUAUUGCGCACAUCUUGAUCGACUGAGGGAUGUGGGUAUUUAAUACGUGAGUGGUUAAACCACUCCCCAACACGUCCUCCACGUUCAGUCAAUCCACG